CAGUAGCCGCGGUAAUACGAAGGGGGCUAGCGUUGUUCGGAAUUACUGGGCGUAAAGGGCGCGUAGGCGGCCAUUCAAGUUAGAUGUGAAAGCCCUGGGCUCAACCUAGGAAUUGCAUUUGAUACUGUUUGGCUUGAGUUCGGGAGAGGUGAGUGGAAUUCCCAGUGUAGAGGUGAAAUUCGUAGAUAUUGGGAAGAACACCAGUGGCGAAGGCGGCUCACUGGACCGACACUGACGCUGAGGCGCGAAAGCGUGGGAGCAAACAGGAUUAGAUACCCCCGUAGUCCCUGUCUCUUAUACA
This 301-nucleotide ribosomal RNA is filed under the name uncultured bacterium. RNAcentral describes it as "partial 16S ribosomal RNA". It matches the Rfam family "Bacterial small subunit ribosomal RNA", at positions 509 to 808 of the family's 1533-position model. The record is from RNAcentral.